UGGUGUGAUAUCUAUUUUAAAUUCAACCUCACGAUCUGGAGGCAGCCCAGGUAGUUCAUCUGAAAAAACAUCAAAAAAUUCUUUGACAAUUGGAAUAUCAUCCAACUUUAUCUUUUCUUUCUCGGCAUCCACUAUGUGGGCCAAAAAUGCUUGGCAUCCUUUCCUUAAAGCUUUUCUUGCAUUCAUGAUUGAGAUAAUA
Molecule: long non-coding RNA, 199 nt
Filed under: Elaeis guineensis (African oil palm)
Lineage: Eukaryota; Viridiplantae; Streptophyta; Magnoliopsida; Arecales; Arecaceae
Description: long non-coding RNA (EGUI_LNC043857)
Source: RNAcentral